AAAGUUGUUUUAAAGCAAUCUAAGCCUUCUGAACUUAUUCUAAUUAUGUACCUUCACCACAAAUGAUCUUUUUCCAUACCUUAGGUGCCGAUCUUUCCGAAUGAGUCUUCGUCCUCAAAUUUGAAUCUCUUCUCAAAAACUUCUGCGAUCAACUCUUCAAGACUCCAAACAACUUUACGAAAUUCGCCAACCUAUAAAAUCCUUAAU
Molecule: long non-coding RNA, 207 nt
Filed under: Ananas comosus (pineapple)
Lineage: Eukaryota; Viridiplantae; Streptophyta; Magnoliopsida; Poales; Bromeliaceae
Description: long non-coding RNA (ACOM_LNC035825)
Source: RNAcentral